This 429-nucleotide ribosomal RNA is filed under the name Gemmatimonadota bacterium. RNAcentral's name for it is "Gemmatimonadetes bacterium partial 16S ribosomal RNA". It matches the Rfam family "Bacterial small subunit ribosomal RNA", at positions 355 to 776 of the family's 1533-position model. Lineage: Bacteria; Pseudomonadati; Gemmatimonadota. The record is from RNAcentral.
UAGGGAAUCUUCGGCAAUGGACGAAAGUCUGACCGAGCAACGCCGCGUGAGUGAAGAAGGUUUUCGGAUCGUAAAACUCUGUUGUUAGAGAAGAACAAGGACGUUAGUAACUGAACGUCCCCUGACGGUAUCUAACCAGAAAGCCACGGCUAACUACGUGCCAGCAGCCGCGGUAAUACGUAGGUGGCAAGCGUUGUCCGGAUUUAUUGGGCGUAAAGCGAGCGCAGGCGGUUUCUUAAGUCUGAUGUGAAAGCCCCCGGCUCAACCGGGGAGGGUCAUUGGAAACUGGGAGACUUGAGUGCAGAAGAGGAGAGUGGAAUUCCAUGUGUGGCGGUGAAAUGCGUAGAUAUAUGGAGGAACACCAGUGGGGAAGGCGGCUCUCUGGUCUGUAACUGACGCUGAGGCUCGAAAGCGUGGGGAGCAAACAGG